AUGAGAAUUGUACUAGACUCACGGAGGUGUGUGGAUGAGAAUUGUACUAGACUCACGGAGGUGUGUGGAUGAGAAUUGUACUAGACUCACGGAGGUGUGUGGAUGAGAAUUGUACUAGACUCACGGAGGUGUGUGGAUGAGAAUUGUACUAGACUCACUGAGGUGUGUGGAUGAGAAUUGUACUAGACUCACGGAGGUGUGUGGAUGAGAAUUGUACUAGACUCACGGAGGUGUGUGGAUGAGAAUUGUACUAGACUCACGGAGGUGUGUGGAUGAGAAUUGUACUAGACUCACGGAGGUGUGUGGAUGAGAAUUGUACUAGACUCACGGAGGUGUGUGGAUGAGAAUUGUACUAGACUCACGGAGGUGUGUGGAUGAGAA
Molecule: long non-coding RNA, 381 nt
Organism: Homalodisca vitripennis (glassy-winged sharpshooter)
Lineage: Eukaryota; Metazoa; Arthropoda; Insecta; Hemiptera; Cicadellidae
Exons: 2
Source: RefSeq, a predicted model, not a curated record